Camelina sativa (false flax) is the source of this 752-nucleotide long non-coding RNA. RefSeq lists it as uncharacterized. NCBI's taxonomy places the organism in Eukaryota, Viridiplantae, Streptophyta, Magnoliopsida, Brassicales, Brassicaceae. The record is from RefSeq and is a predicted model, not a curated record.
ACUUUUUUUCCUUCGCCUCUGCUCUCUUUCUCGCCGUCUCUCUCAAAUGGAUUUAAGUAUAUGUUUGAUGAUUAAAACCAAGUUUAAUUGGAAUUUGGUUUCUGAAUCUCGAUGUGUAGUGGUUUUGGAUUCUUCUCUGGUCAUCAGCACGAUUUUGAGAGGAUAAACUCAAUCUCAUAAAUCGUCAAUAACUCAACCUCAAAAAUCUGUCUGAUUCAUCUCUCUGAUCAAGUUGAUUCUUUGAAAUGGGAGAUCUCGAUAUUGUACAAGCAACUCAUUAUAGACACAACACAACAGUUUCGUAGUGAGCUUGAACAAAUAACAGAGUUCUCAAAUCAAGGUUUUCCAGCUGAGGAACGGGUGAGAUGUAGAAGAAGAUAGUACGAUGAAAUUCAAUUAGUGAUGUGAAUCUCUUCAGUGAGUUUCAGCAACCAUUGUCUCGCUUAACGAUUAGAUUGGAGCUUCAUGGUUUUAAAACGCGUUUGGUGCAGUGAAAAACGUUUAAAGAGAGAGCUGAGAAUGGAGGAGAAGAAAGAAAGGAGAUCAUCAAACUUGAUCCUUCUUCACCUAAAGUUUCUGUUGUUGUUCCUCUUAAGCUCAGUUGAUGCAGAUCUCACCGAAUCAAGUUUUUUAAAUUGCAUUUCAUGUCAAUUCUUUUAUAGGUUUGUUGUUCAUAGAGAUAUAUAUAUAUAUAUAUGAUUUCAUUUACUAAGCAAAAGAUAAAAGACACUUAUAAGGUGUUGUUACAUUCA